GCGUCUGUAGCCUAGUUGGUUAAAGGCAGCACUCUAGCAUGUGUCUCAGUUAUACUGAGGUCGUGAGUUCGAAUCUCACCAGACACA
Puccinia sorghi is the source of this 87-nucleotide transfer RNA. It matches the Rfam family "tRNA". From Rfam's summary of the family: Transfer RNA (tRNA) molecules are approximately 80 nucleotides in length. Their secondary structure includes four short double-helical elements and three loops (D, anti-codon, and T loops). The record is from Rfam. Lineage: Eukaryota; Fungi; Basidiomycota; Pucciniomycetes; Pucciniales; Pucciniaceae.